Oryzias melastigma (Indian medaka) is the source of this 578-nucleotide long non-coding RNA. RefSeq lists it as uncharacterized. The transcript is spliced from 2 exons. Lineage: Eukaryota; Metazoa; Chordata; Actinopteri; Beloniformes; Adrianichthyidae. The record is from RefSeq and is a predicted model, not a curated record.
GCGGCCUCCGUCAGCAUCUGCAUCCGCCGCUCCUGGUACUCCUCCAGGCCUCGCCAGAGCUCCACACGCUCCCGCUCACGCUUCAUCUCCCUGGAAAGGGAAAAGGGGACAAACUGAGACCACCUCGAACCAGGACCAGGGAGGCAGUGAGGUCAUCAAACAGUUUGCUGUUCAUCUCCAUGAAGGUCUUCAGCACGUUGUAGAUCAGAGACACAAUAGUCCUGCAGAGAAACAGAUGAAAUGAGACUUCACUUGUGUAUGCACACGGAGGCUUAACUGAAGAGAAGAACAUGAGUUUUCUCAGGAGAAACAUUAAAAAUAAUUAAAGAGACUUGAUUAUAAAUUGCAUUAAAAAAGUAGAUUUGUUUUAGUAUAUUUUAAUUGAAUUCUUUUAUUUCUUUGUCUUAGUUUUUUGUAUAGUUCAUCUGCUCUUUUUACGUAUGAUUUUACAUCACGUUAACAUUUUUACAGGUGUUUUCAUGUUUUUAUCAUGUACAGGUGUGUUUGUGGUGGGAUUUAUCUUGUAACUUCUGCAUGAAAGUAUUAGGAAUAAACUUGGUCGAUUAGUUUUCCCAUCA